GGAUGAAGGGAGCUUGCUCUCGGAUUCAGCGGCGGACGGGUGAGUAAUGCCUAGGAAUCUGCCUGGUAGUGGGGGACAACGUUCCGAAAGGAGCGCUAAUACCGCAUACGUCCUACGGGAGAAAGUGGGGGAUCUUCGGACCUCACGCUAUCAGAUGAGCCUAGGUCGGAUUAGCUAGUAGGUGGGGUAAUGGCUCACCUAGGCGACGAUCCGUAACUGGUCUGAGAGGAUGAUCAGUCACACUGGAACUGAGACACGGUCCAGACUCCUACGGGAGGCAGCAGUGGGGAAUAUUGGACAAUGGGCGAAAGCCUGAUCCAGCCAUGCCGCGUGUGUGAAGAAGGUCUUCGGAUUGUAAAGCACUUUAAGUUGGGAGGAAGGGCAGUAAGUUAAUACCUUGCUGUUUUGACGUUACCAACAGAAUAAGCACCGGCUAACUUCGUGCCAGCAGCCGCGGUAAUACGAAGGGUGCAAGCGUUAAUCGGAAUUACUGGGCGUAAAGCGCGCGUA
Molecule: ribosomal RNA, 510 nt
Filed under: Pseudomonas sp. strain 1139
Lineage: Bacteria; Pseudomonadati; Pseudomonadota; Gammaproteobacteria; Pseudomonadales; Pseudomonadaceae
Description: bacterial SSU rRNA
Rfam family: Bacterial small subunit ribosomal RNA
Source: RNAcentral